RNAcentral lists this long non-coding RNA (4360 nucleotides) under Volvox carteri. RNAcentral describes it as "long non-coding RNA (VCAR_LNC002563)". The record is from RNAcentral. Lineage: Eukaryota; Viridiplantae; Chlorophyta; Chlorophyceae; Chlamydomonadales; Volvocaceae.
GCUCCUUGUUUUCUUCCUUGGCAGCUUUCGAGCUAAUCGUUACAUUCAUUAGGUUGUGCGGCUAUAGCCGCAAAGUAAAAGUAUCGUCAAUAAUUUUCUUCUCUGGAUUGUCAAAAACCCGGAUAACACGCGUCAGGACCAUCACUUCAGGCAACCGUAGCGUUAAAUGAGUUAUUCAUGGCGCUUGAAGUUUGUGACAGCUCGGUUGCACCACCCAUCACAAGCGCAGCUGCUCAGCGAGCACCUUCGACGCAACAGCCAGGAAAAAUUGCGCCAGUUGCCUGCCCACGAUCAACUUAAGCCAACUCUGUACACACAUUCAUGCCCAGAACAACACGCGCAGGUGCUUAGACGGAGCGCUUGUUGGCCGGCUGCCAGUCGCGGGCGCUCUUGGGGCGCUGCACCAGGAAGCCCAUGAUCUGCACCUGCUUCACGUUGUCGAAGGCCACCAGGCGCACGUAGGCGUCCGGGAAGGCCUUGGUGCAGGCAACAAUCUCGCGCAGCACCUGCAUCGGGUCGCGGCAGCCGAACAUGGGCAGCUUCCACAUCGUCCAGUAGCGGUUGUCGUAGUACAGCUGCGGGGGAGGGGGAGAUGGCAGAGGGAAAAGAACGACAGGAUUGUCAGUUUGGUCAGCAAGUAAGACAUUUCAGUCAAAAACAGAGCGACCCAAAAACAUUGCUGGGCACAAACGUCUCGUAACCCUUAACUUACGCAGGAGACUGGGCCGAAGCGAACGGUCGACUCGUUCGACACGUAGGCCUUGUCGGCCUCAGCGAACUCAAGGCAAGGAAUCCAGCCUGGGAAAUGGGGAAAUGUUAUAGUAAAAAUCUUUCGGAGACGAUGACGUUGUACGAGAACAAUUUACGCUUGCAUAGCAUCCAACCCCAUCCUGAGAUAGCAUUGGAACGAGAGAAAAAGCGGGUCAAGAUCAUACCAUUAGCAACGAUGUAGUCGACCUGAGCAGCGAUCUGCUCGUCGGUCAGAGGGGGCAGGUAGGAAAAGGUCUCGAACAUCCUGCAAUGCAAAUCCAAUCACUCAAAAUUAUAAAGGUUAGGUAGAUUAUUGAACAACUCAAAGGAUUCACAAAAUAUCAAAUCACAGCCAUAAGCAACAAUGUACAGCGACUCACUUGUUGUUCACCGGCGUCCAGACCAUCAUCUUGUUGGCCUGGGCCGGAGAAGCCACAGGAGCUGCCUUAAUAGCCGGCUUGAGGACGGCGACCGGGCGCACGCUGCUGCGAGCUGGGCGCACCACAGCGGUGGCCACAGAUGACUUAGCAACAAUAGCGGCCAUUUUCCUCCUUAGUGAGAAGUAUGCGAUGACUGAGCUGGUGAGAAUGAGACUACUUCUGUCAACUUCAGUGCCGUUGCUGCCUUUUGUACCAAGGGGGCUACACCUGUACCACGAUAAACUGUACGACAAAAGGGAACGGUAGCCAGGAGUUCCAAAGAGGGUUAAAUGAAUGUUAUAUAAGCUAGUAAGUAUUAAAUUUCUGUGCAAAGGAUAGAUGCCCAAGUCUUGGAUGAGGCGAACUCGGCCGCAUGUACGAUAUGGCUGACACAUGUGUCAGCUGAAUUCUGAGCGUUUGAAAGGUUCUAACGCCAGAAUUUUACACAAGGAAUGUUAUGCGAUGCAAAAUUCGAAAGGAUGGCUUGGGCUCCGGGGUGAAAUAUUAAACCUGAGGGCUUAGGUAGCCGUUUCCCAGGUUUGUUCCAUCUUGCAGUCUCAUGGUGCACCGCGCUGUCAAAAGGUAUUAAGGGUAGUUCCGCCCGCAUCGAAAAUUUCGAAAUCGAGAUAUCAACAUUGUGUUUCCAUCUUGCCUUGUAAGCCCCCUGCCGUGGGGCCUCGAAGACGCAGGUCCCGAAAGGAUAUUAUGCCUUCAGAGGUUUGGGGGACGUUUAAAAUGAUUCUGGGUCGCUGGUUAAUAGUACCGGCCCCUCCGCAUGGCAGACGCCUUGACGAACGGCAUGAGAGGACUUCCAACAUAUUACGCGUCUGUGAUAUGCCGUGCCAAAAUCCUUGCCGCAACGCCAAUCAAUACCCUUCCAGGCCACGCGUGGACCUUUAGUGGCCUUCGACAGGGGGUUAUGACCUAGAACUGCAAUAAUACGUGGCUCUAGGCAACUUGGUUUGGUGGUUUGGUUUGGUGGCUUUAGCGCUGGGGUAGAGGCGAGGCCGAGGGAGCUAGUUGCGUACGAGUGCCCACCGGAGAUCGGGUGCCAGCCACGAUUUCUAACGGCUACCUUGCCUCGACAUUGGCUGCGAGCGAUCCUUAUGUGGUUCUCAAUCUCGCAGAUAAAUCUUUUUAGUUUAGCGGGACAGGGCAGGUCACAGGAUGACGAUGGGAGCUAAGUGAAUGGCUUGUCGCUCCGGCGACCACCACCCUGAGGACGGCUUCCUGCCGGUCGUUCCCGUUCGUUGAGCAGUGCGUCGCGGCCUCCCCCUGCGAACUGGACUAGGCCACAGUGAUACAUUAAGGUUGGGAUUCCUGUAGAUCCGUUUCUAGCUUGUUGCCCAGAUCCAGAAGGCGCUAAUAGGACAGCGUCAACCUGCUGUAAAAAUCGCUUAAAGCUUAAGUUGAUACCAUACAACACCAACCAGGGACACCAACGCAUAGCCAUUAACGUAGGAAAGUGAGGCAAAGCUGAAAGCAUUACAGCGGCUUCCCGGGAACGUACACUUGCCGAGCCUUGCCUACAUCGGGUCUCGCCUUGUGAGCAGCUAAGCUUAUACCACGCCAUUCGCGGUUCAUUGCCUGGGUCGCUUACUCUCCGUAGCCUGCUGGUAGGGGGAUAAGCAGAGUUAUGUGGCUUGCAAAGCUGCGCUGGACGAACUUGCUCCUGCGGGACAUUCCUGCCGCGUGGCUAGAAGCAGCACGACUGGCUAACCCCUUGACACAAGGUGUGCGACUGCAGCUGCCGCUCGAGGACAACGAUACUGAGCUUCGAAUCACUUAGUUGGUGUGGAAGCUUCCCAACAAUAGCAAGGUGGCGCUGAGGAAAUGGUGGCGUACGGAUGUGCACAUGUACGGACGCGACGGCUGAGGUGGACUGUCUGUCUGUGAAACAGGGGGGUAUAUCUUCACCAGUGGCAGCUACCCUGCGAAACCCUGCCUUCCCCGGUAUUUCGGGACAUCCUCAUCCAGUCACCCUAGUCAACUUCUCAGUGGAUCGCUCAGGUUCCGCACCCACCACCAGCAUCCAACGGAAUCAGCCGGGCCGUCAGCAGCCCAACUCCAUUCCUGGUCGGCGCGCAGGUUAACUCUAUCCCAGAUCACCACCGUCCAACAACUAGGGGCGCAAUACAUUCUACCAGCGGACGGAUUUAUGACCCUGAAAGAACUCGAUCCCGGAAUCUCCCGGGGGCAAUGGUCGCGCGUUACCAGUAGAGCCUAACCUAUGAAUGGAAUGUCUGUAUGUCGCAGAUUCCUGGGGGUUGGGAGCAGAUGUGGAGGAGGUGCAGCUCGACGCCAUGCUGUAAGGGCAUGACAAAUCAAUGGUCGUCAACACUGAGCGCCUGAACGGCUUCCAGUUGACAGUUUUCCCGUCAGAUCCUUAACACAUGAACGGUGUGACCAUUCCCACAGGGGGAACGCUGGUAGGUGGCAUAGAUGAGUUUAUCUUAGCCCCAAAUCGCGGCCGUGCCUAAUGGCCUAGAGAAUCCAAUUAUACUUGCUGGAUGGGAGACAGAUGGGAAACACUCGUUGCUAAUUGCUAUCCAAGCCGCGCUAAGGGAUCUUGGUACCUUAUUGGCUUUGGCACCUCUCUGCACCUCCUAUGCAGCUUUUGUGGGCGGGCAGCGCGGGUAAUUCUGCCGGAUCCAUCCCAACUUGAUUCAUUACAUGUAUUUACGAGCACAAAAGUCGAGUAUUAAUCAAUAGUCAAUAUUCACUAAAUUCUUCCAAUGAGCUGACCUUCAUGUAAACCGAACGGCCAGCACCGCCCUUCCUGCUAUCUGCUCCGAGAGGGCAAAACAUACAUAAGAACUGCGCUGACCAUACGAAACUGUCGAGCGACAUCCAAAAUACCAAGGUAAGCCAUCUAUGUCGCCAUCUAAUCGGGUCGAGGCAUUUAAUCUUCUCUGAACAUCAUUAAGAGAAGAUGUAUCUCCUAACAGGCAGCCCGAAGCAUAUGUCAUUAUUAGCGGAUGGAAUUUUUCCUAAUGAAUGGUUCACUACGAACAGCUGCUGAGCCAGCAUCCCUUGAUGCAACAGCAGGGAAAAAUUGCACAGGACAUGCUGGCAUAAAACCAUGCGAGCGCAUCCACACUCCCGAGGCGAUUAGCAACACGCGCAGCUGCUUAGACGGAGCGCUUGUUGGCCGGCUGCCAGUCGCGGGCGCUCUUGGGGCGCUGCACCAG